RNAcentral lists this ribosomal RNA (117 nucleotides) under Deinococcota bacterium. The record is from RNAcentral. Lineage: Bacteria; Thermotogati; Deinococcota.
UUCCGUGCCCAUAGCGACGUGGCUCCACCCGAUCCCAUCCCGAACUCGGAAGUUAAGCACGUCAGCGCCCAUGAUAGUUGGGGAGCAGUCCCCCGCAAAAGUAGGUCGGUGCGGAAA